This 224-nucleotide ribosomal RNA is filed under the name uncultured bacterium. RNAcentral describes it as "partial 16S ribosomal RNA". It matches the Rfam family "Bacterial small subunit ribosomal RNA", at positions 524 to 746 of the family's 1533-position model. The record is from RNAcentral.
UACGUAGGGUGCAAGCGUUGUCCGGAAUUAUUGGGCGUAAAGAGCUCGUAGGCGGUCUGUCGCGUCUGCUGUGAAAACUCAGGGCUUAACCCUGAGCUUGCAGUGGGUACGGGCAGACUAGAGUGCGGUAGGGGAGACUGGAAUUCCUGGUGUAGCGGUGGAAUGCGCAGAUAUCAGGAGGAACACCGGUGGGCGAAGGCGGAUCUCUGGGCCUUACCUGACGC